GUCUCGGAGACUACAAUACUUAGAGGCAUAUUUCCCAAAUAGUAGCAGCAUGCUCUCCUCAAAAAUCCAAAUAAACAUAUUCCCAACAAAAAAGUAAACCUAGUAACCCAUGCCCGAUGAAACCCCAGUUUUCAAAUUUUGAUUUGUGUAAGAAUACUAGAAAAUAUCAGUCUACCAACGGGAGCCAGCCCGACAGCAUCAACACAAAAAAACAACAAAAAUGUAAAAAAUUUAUUUUUUUUUCGUACCAGUUUUGUAAAUAUGUAAAUAAUUCUAAUUAGUUUUAAGUCUAAAGUGUGAAUUUAGUUUUAAGUUUAACAACAAAAAAAAACAGUUCCUCGGAGUCGAGCAGAGCAUACAGAUGAAGGAACAACAAUUAGGGGCAGUACAGCAGCACACACACCUCAGGAACAGUUCGCCAUUAUUCAGCCACAACCAACCAGCAAUUCAGCCUAACCAGCCCCAACAAAUCAGCGAUCAACACAAUGGAACAUAAAACAACCAGAGAACAAACUACACAUAAGAAGCAUUCAAGCAGUGAAACUAAUGAUAACCGAUGACGACUUGGAAACGACUUGGAUUUGAAGUGUGGAGUAGGCCUACUGGGGAUACCACGUAAAAAAAAAACGCGCCCAGAUCUUUACCAAAUGUUGGUGGUGUGGAAAAGAGUUCAUUAAACUGUCCAAAUAUAAACGUAUAGUACGAAUAAAUAAAG
Long non-coding RNA from Drosophila persimilis, 715 nucleotides. RefSeq lists it as uncharacterized. The record is from RefSeq and is a predicted model, not a curated record. The transcript has 3 exons. Lineage: Eukaryota; Metazoa; Arthropoda; Insecta; Diptera; Drosophilidae.